This 156-nucleotide unclassified non-coding RNA is filed under the name uncultured fungus. RNAcentral describes it as "sequence contains ITS1". Lineage: Eukaryota; Fungi. The record is from RNAcentral.
UUAAAUCAUUCGUUUCAUGUUCAGACGACGGAUUGGGCACUGCAUUAACACGAUGUCGGGGCGUCGAAACACAAUCUUCUGUCUUCCACGGGUUUGAAGGGUCGACGGUCCGAGGGUCAUUCGAUAAUGAUCCCUCCGCAGGUUCACCUACGGAGA